UUUGUUCUUAAUUGACUUGCCUAGUUAAAUGAAGGUUAAAUACAACUACUAAAUGUUGAUGAUAAGGAGUGGCAGGAGGAAUGAGGUUUCAACACAGGGCACUCAUCAUGAUCACGGAGUCCAAUAUUAUUCUGUAUCUUUAUUGUGAACAAUGCAAUGUCAAACUCGAAGAACUUGCUUCUGUUGUGAAGCAGAGGUAUUACGAAAAUUACUUAUCUAUAUUGAAACAUAGAUACAGUGGGAAAUGCAUAGGCUGCAGACACACUAACGAACACACCCAUAGCACUGUCUCAGUCAGAUGGAGUGAAGAGAGAAGGAUGUCACUUUAAUGGGAUUGAAUGAACAAACAGCAGAAGGUCCAUGUCCCCCGCACCCAUGACACACUACUCCUUCCAACCCAUCUCCUCUAGCCAUGCUCCUUACCUUCAGGUCCUUCCUACCCACCCCCUCUAGCCGUGCUCCUUACCUUCAGGUCCUUCCCACCCACCCCCUCUAGCCGUACUCCU
Oncorhynchus tshawytscha (Chinook salmon) is the source of this 506-nucleotide long non-coding RNA. The record is from Ensembl. NCBI's taxonomy places the organism in Eukaryota, Metazoa, Chordata, Actinopteri, Salmoniformes, Salmonidae.